AUGGGAGAUAUGAAUAACAUUUUGUAUGACGAUGAUAAGAACUCCCAGCAUGUUAAUAGUAAUCGUAUGCGCGCUUUUCGUAACAUUGUUAAAUCUUGUGGGUUUUUUGAUCUAGGAUAUAGUGGGCCUGCUUAUACUUGGACUAAUAAGCGAUAUUCUUCUGUGCCUAUCUAUGAACGCCUAGAUAGAUGCUUGGUAAAUGCUGAAUGGUGUGCUUUAUAUCCGAUCACUAAUGUCUAUAAUAUGCCGAUCACUAUUAGUGACCACGCUCCCAUUCUUGUCUCCACUGAAGGUAAUUUCAGAAAGCCUUUGCAAACUUUU
Molecule: ribosomal RNA, 321 nt
Filed under: Triticum aestivum (bread wheat)
Lineage: Eukaryota; Viridiplantae; Streptophyta; Magnoliopsida; Poales; Poaceae
Description: partial small subunit ribosomal RNA
Source: RNAcentral